Molecule: ribosomal RNA, 486 nt
Filed under: uncultured bacterium
Lineage: Bacteria
Description: partial 16S ribosomal RNA
Rfam family: Bacterial small subunit ribosomal RNA
Source: RNAcentral
GAUGAACGCUGGCGGCGUGCCUAAUACAUGCAAGUCGAACGCUGGAGAUCUAGCUUGCUAGAUCGAAGGAGUGGCGAACGGGUGAGUAAUACAUAAGCAACCUACCCACGAAGACUGGGAUAAUCUCUGGAAACGGGGGCUAAUACCGGAUAGGUAAUCGGAAGGCAUCUUCUGGUUAUUAAAGGUUAAAAACACUGGUGGAUGGGCUUAUGGCGCAUUAGUUAGUGGGUGAGGUAACGGCCCACCAAGACGAUGAUGCGUAGCCGGCCUGAGAGGGUGAACGGCCACAUUGGGACUGAGACACGGCCCAGACUCCUACGGGAGGCAGCAGUAGGGAAUUUUCGGCAAUGGGGGCAACCCUGACCGAGCAACGCCGCGUGAGUGAAGACGGCCUUCGGGUUGUAAAGCUCUGUUGUAAGGGAAGAACGGUAGAUAGAGAAUAUCUAAGUGACGGUACCUUACCAGAAAGCCACGGCUAACUACGUG